This 325-nucleotide unclassified non-coding RNA is filed under the name uncultured fungus. RNAcentral describes it as "partial contains small subunit ribosomal RNA, internal transcribed spacer 1, and 5.8S ribosomal RNA". The stretch from base 1 to 73 matches the Rfam family "Eukaryotic small subunit ribosomal RNA", at positions 1759 to 1831 of the family's 1831-position model. Lineage: Eukaryota; Fungi. The record is from RNAcentral.
GCAAACUUGGUCAUUUAGAGGAAGUAAAAGUCGUAACAAGGUUUCCGUAGGUGAACCUGCGGAAGGAUCAUUAUUGAAUUGAACGGGGGCGCUUGGUUGGGCCUGCACCGGCGGAGACGCCGUGCUGCGGUCUGCCUCGCGCCCUCUUCCAAACUCAAACCCCUGUGAACCUUUGGGAGGGAUGCGCCGAGUCCGGAGCGCCCUCCCGUUUUACAACCAACUCUGAUGUCUAUUUGAAUGUGAGAUUCGGGGCAGCCCCGAUGUCUAAUCGAAAACAACUUUCAACAACGGAUCUCUUGGCUCUCGCAUCGAUGAAGAACGCAGC